UACAGAGGUCCCAAGCGUUGUUCGGAUUCACUGGGCGUAAAGGGUGCGUAGGUGGCUUGGUAAGUUUGAUGUGAAAUCUCCGGGCUUAACCCGGAAAUGGCAUUGAAUACUAUUGAGCUGGAGGUUUGGAGGGGGGACUGGAAUUCUCGGUGUAGCAGUGAAAUGCGCAGAUAUCAGGAAGAACACCCGUGGCGAAGGCGGUUCUCUGGGACGGUACUGACGCUGAGACGCGAAAGCGUGGGGAGCAAACAGG
This 253-nucleotide ribosomal RNA is filed under the name uncultured bacterium. RNAcentral describes it as "partial 16S ribosomal RNA". It matches the Rfam family "Bacterial small subunit ribosomal RNA", at positions 524 to 776 of the family's 1533-position model. The record is from RNAcentral.